Molecule: long non-coding RNA, 252 nt
Organism: Hordeum vulgare subsp. vulgare (domesticated barley)
Lineage: Eukaryota; Viridiplantae; Streptophyta; Magnoliopsida; Poales; Poaceae
Exons: 2
Source: RefSeq, a predicted model, not a curated record
ACAACCCAAGAGGACCCUCAACAGAAAUCAAGAGAAAAGGCAAUUAGUGAAUUAUCUAGGCUUGCAUUCACUGGGAGCGAGAUUGUUGACGCUGCAACUAUAUUUGCUAAAACUCCAGAACACAUGAACAUGAUGCUUGUGCUUCCAGAAAUCCUUAGGAGGGACUUCGUCCUCAAAAUGCUCUCGGACGAAAGAAAGAAGCAAGGUUGAUGGGAAAGAAGGCCCUUCUCCACUAUUGGUGUGACAUGACUG